Mytilus californianus (California mussel) is the source of this 595-nucleotide long non-coding RNA. RefSeq lists it as uncharacterized. The record is from RefSeq and is a predicted model, not a curated record. NCBI's taxonomy places the organism in Eukaryota, Metazoa, Mollusca, Bivalvia, Mytilida, Mytilidae. The transcript is spliced from 3 exons.
AUACAUACCUAGAAGCUUAAGAAAAACAUUAGUAUUUCGAACAAGAUUUCACAUUUUUUGAACAGUUGAUUAACAAAAAAUGAGUGUUCUAAGAUAAAUUAAACUGAAUUUUUACUUUUCUAAGUAAUUCAUCUUGAUGUUAUAGACUUGGGUUAAAGAAUUAAAUAAAGACAAGAAAAGAACAACUGCAAAAACAGGAAGAUUUAAAUUAUGAUGUUAAUCAACAAUUUAAGGAUUUACAAGAGAGGACACGUCGAUAUCAACUCGAAAAUAAUCAGACUGAAGAAAGGUAUCAACUUGUUUGUAAGGAGAUGGAUGACUUAAAACUCAGAAUACAACAAGAUUUUCAUCAAUUAAAUCAGAAAGAUGAAGUAAUAACAAAUCUAGAAAAGAUGAAUUGUCACCAAAAAGAUGCGAUCGAUAACCAAGAAGAAGUAAUUAUGGUCCUUUGUAAAGAGAAUGACGAUCUACAAACGAGAUUGAGCAGUGUUGCAGGUGAAAAGUUAACGAAAGGAAAUCCAGCUAUUACAGAUCUAAUCCUAAUCGUCCAAUGAAAAUUGGUGAGAAGUACGGUGAAUUGUAUGACAACGAAUGG